CUCUCUCUCUCUCUCUCUCUCUCUCUCCUUGCAGAUAGAUUAUUACCUUUAUUUCUCUCUCCUUGAAAUAGAUACAUAGCUAUGUGUCUUGCAUAUAGAUAAUUCCCCGUCUCUCUCGUUAAUGGAAAUUUUAUUCGAAUAAAAUAGCUGAAGUACUCUCUCUCUCUAUCUCACUACCUGUGCCUACAACUGGUUCCCCUUUUCUUGACAAUUUAAUCUAAAGAAAAAUAACAACUCCCUUUCUUAGAUUCUCUUCUUUGUUUUUUUUCAUCUUUUUUUACUUUUUCUACUGUAUACUUCUCUUGAGAGACUUCUCUCUCUCUCUCUCUCUCUCUCAUGCCUGCCUCUGUGAGGUAUUGUGCAACUUUUCCUAUGAAAUAUCCCCCCACUCUGUUCUUUCUCUCUCUACUUUUGCUGUGAAAUAUUCCCCCCUCCCCCUCCCUCUCUCCCCUCUCUCUCUUAUUCAUAUGCUUUUCAUGCUUUUAGUUUUUGUUUGGAGUGGACUCCUGCAAGAGUACACUAUAUCAGUAGUAGAGUACACUAGAUACUCCCUCAGACAAAGGACCUAGUUUUUUAUGUGAAUUUCUUUUAAAAUGUUAAGUUGGGUCUCUUCUAUUAACUUAUUGAUGAGUGUACAGAGACUAAAAGAUCCCAAAAUCACCUUAUGGAGAACCUAUUCACUAACAAAAAUCUUUUUGAAAUUCCUUUUGCCAAUAAGUCGGACUUAAACCUUGCUUCCCACUAACCAGAUUGGUAUUUUGCCAUCAGAAAUUUCCGAUCCACUUUAAAAUCACCAAAUGAGUAUUUUGUAAAAAAAAAAAAAAAACAAAAAAACAAUCGAGUUCUUAAAUAUUCCGAUCUGACUGUCGAAAUAUUGGCCGCUCUCUCACUCAAUUAAGCAAUUCCUUCCCAAAAUUUGGGGUCCUUAAAACUAUUUUAGAUAGCGUUUUAUGCUAGAGGUCAAUGUCCAAUAUGUUCUUGAGGGAGCAAAUAACUACCCCUCAGUUGUUUGGCUUUUGUCAAUCUUCCCCCUCUUAAUUACUUUCUAAUUUGAAUAUUGCUUAUGCAGCUUAGGGGUGGCGAUGGACCCGGACCUGACCCGGGACCCGGGUCCUUGUAUGGAUCCAGGAAUUGGACCUAGUGGAUUGGUUCAAGGUCCAAAUAUUGGACCUGAACACUAUUGGGGUCCAGGUCCAGCGGGACCUGACCUAUUGCCACCCCUACUUAUGCAUGGGUUGGAUCCAAACGAGAAGUUGAUUGGGCUUGGGUCUCGCAAUUUCUUUCUUUGCCCAAGGGAUACUGUUAAUAAUAAUACCACUACCUGCUCAAACCAGGCUGAGAAACCUAAUAGCAAGUCAUGGCUUAGGUUCAUGGAUUUCUUAUUGUGAUUUUCCAUGAUAUUUUUUGUUUUUUCUUCAAUAUUUUAGAUGGGUCUUGUAUAUAUUCAGGGAUAUAUGGUAUUUGUGUAAGCUUUAUUUGAUAAAAGCAUGUAAGAACAAAGCACUUGUGCUUAAUCAAAUCCCAAAUCCUUGGUUUUAAUGA
Amborella trichopoda is the source of this 1542-nucleotide long non-coding RNA. RefSeq lists it as uncharacterized. The record is from RefSeq and is a predicted model, not a curated record. Lineage: Eukaryota; Viridiplantae; Streptophyta; Magnoliopsida; Amborellales; Amborellaceae.